Molecule: RNA transcript, 1750 nt
Organism: Juglans regia (Persian walnut)
Lineage: Eukaryota; Viridiplantae; Streptophyta; Magnoliopsida; Fagales; Juglandaceae
Gene name: probable magnesium transporter NIPA6
Exons: 10
Source: RefSeq, a predicted model, not a curated record
UUCCUCUUGAAGUUGGAUCCUUUGCUUCUUUUCUUCAAUAGCUGCACGUUCGCUUUUCUCGGCAAGUAUCUCUGUACCUUUCCAUCUGGUUAUUCAGAUGAGAAUUGUACCCACCAAUGUCCCAUGGCCGCGUCUUUGGUGAUUGAAGCAUCCGUGUCUACCUCCUUUGCUGAUAAUCUUAAAGGGUUUAUUCUCGCCCUGGUUUCUAGUGCUUUCAUCGGGUCCAGCUUCAUCAUCAAGAAGUUGGGUCUCCAACGUGCUGGCGCCUCGGGCCCUCGAGCCAGUUCUGGUGGAUACGGGUAUCUGAAGGAGCCGUUUUGGUGGGUUGGCAUGGUGACAAUGAUCGUCGGUGAACUUGCCAAUUUUGUCGCUUACAUGUUUGCUCCUGCGGUACUUGUGACACCACUUGGAGCUUUGAGUAUAAUCGUUAGUGCUGUUCUAGCACACUUCUUCUUGAAGGAAAAAUUGCGGAAAAUGGGAAUAGUGGGGUGUGUCUUAUGCAUAGUGGGUUCUACAUUGAUUGUGCUUCAUGCACCCAGUGAACUUAGUCUGAGUUCAGUGGAGGAAAUUUGGGAAUUAGCAACUCAACCAGUUUUUCUUUUAUACACAGCCUCAGCAAUAGCGGUAGUUUUGGUGCUGAUAUUGUAUUGUGAACCACGUUUUGGGCAGACAAACAUACUGGUCUAUAUUGGCGUAUGUUCCAUAAUUGGAUCAUUGACGGUUAUGAGUAUUAAAGCUGUAGGCAUUGCUAUAAAACUCACAUUGGAGGGUUCAAGCCAGGCAGGAAGCUUCCAAACAUGGGUUUUUGUAAUGGUUGCAAUUACGUGUAUUAUCACUCAGCUGAAUUAUUUGAACAAGGGUGCACCUGUGAACGUGAUGAAGUUGUGCUACAGAGGGGUGCCUGCUUGUAUUUUUUUUUUUUGGUGCAUAUAAAAAAUGUAGAAAAGAUUCAGACUCUGAGAAGGGUGAUUUCAGAAUCAGUUUUGAUUUAGAAAAUAAUGUGCAUCAAUGACCCAGGCUUUGGACACAUUCAAGACAACGGUUGUUUCUCCAAUCUAUUAUGCUUUGUUCACAUCACUCACAAUUUUUGCCAGUGCCAUAAUGUUCAAGGACUGGUCUGGUCAGAGUGCUAGCAGUAUUGUCUCAGUGCUUUGUGGAUUCAUAACUGUGCUUUCUGGAACUUUGGUAUUGCAUAGUACAAGUGACCGGGAUCCAACUUCUGUUGCAGAUAUCUAUGCAUCACUGUCUCCUCAAGUAUCAUGGUUUGUCCAUGAAAAUGGUGAAAUUUGGAAGCAGAAUGCUGAUGAUGAACUGUGCCCUGAUUUUGAUGCAAUUAUUAAGCAAGACCAUUUCAAAUAAGAUGGGAAAAUAUCCAGGCAUAUCCAUACUGCAUCUCUUACAGCCUACUGAAGGCUGUAUAGGGCAUUGGUGCAAAAAAUCUGCUUAUAUUUUUGCAUACCCUGGUAUUGCUGGAUUCCAUAUUCUUUUUAGUGCUUCACUUGGCGGCGUGACAUUAAACAGUGAAUUGUGGAGGAAAAUAUGUCUUGUUCUUAUUUUAGUUACUAGCAAGUUUUCUUUCCUACUUACAUACUUGUAGGAUUUUAUAAUCAGUUGCAGCACUCUAUGACUAAUUCAUUUUGUAGUUAGUACCUAGUUGUAAUAUGUGUUGUGUAUUGUCAACAUAAGUCCUGUUUUCGUUGUACAAAGCAACAGCAAAGAAAUUAAUUCAACUCAGUUCCUUUCGAUGAAA